Long non-coding RNA from Brassica napus (rape), 696 nucleotides. RefSeq lists it as uncharacterized. The transcript is spliced from 3 exons. NCBI's taxonomy places the organism in Eukaryota, Viridiplantae, Streptophyta, Magnoliopsida, Brassicales, Brassicaceae. The record is from RefSeq and is a predicted model, not a curated record.
CAUCGUCUUUGUAGCUUUUGGGAGGAGAAAACGAGGGGAGCUCUACUCGUCGACGAAGUGAAGCAAAAUCUGUUCCUCUCCUCCUCUACGACGAAUCAAAUCGAUGCCUGCUUUCCUCCUCGAAUGAAAUCGACGUCUGUUCUCCUCCUCGACGACGAAGAAUGAAAUUGGUUUCUGGACUGCUGCUGAACUCAAGCUUCUUCUCAAUCAGACUGCUCAUCAUCUUCAGAUUCUUUCUCUUGUUUGACUGUAACAUAAGAGCAUCUCUAGGUUAGAUAAAAAAAAAAUCAGUGUUUAAGAUUCAGACAUCGAUGGUGACCAAAGUAUAUAUCAUGUACUACUCAAUGUACGGUCAUGUGGAGACAUUAGCUGAAUAGAUAAGGAAGGGAGCUGCUUCUGUUGAAGGCGUUGAAGCCAAGCUAUGGCAGGCUUGGGAGAAUCAUGAGAAGUGAGAGGCCGAGAUGGAGAUGAAAAAAUGGAGGUAUGAUUCUCAAUCAAAAUACUUCGUGGACCUGUUUAAACAGUUUUGGUGUUGGUUUGGAUUGAAUAUUUAAUCGAAUAGGUUCUUUGAAAAUUAAUAAAUAUCUUCAAAUUGUUUUGAAGUUUGAAUUGAAAGUGUGAUCUUGUGUGGAUAAAACUUCUAUCUUUACUCUUGUAGUUAACGACUUUGCUCUAGUUUGAAAGCAUUUCUAAUGA